This 723-nucleotide ribosomal RNA is filed under the name Stenotrophomonas sp. 110602_136_C_D7. Its description in RNAcentral is "bacterial SSU rRNA". It matches the Rfam family "Bacterial small subunit ribosomal RNA", at positions 22 to 731 of the family's 1533-position model. Lineage: Bacteria; Pseudomonadati; Pseudomonadota; Gammaproteobacteria; Lysobacterales; Lysobacteraceae. The record is from RNAcentral.
GCUCAGAGUGAACGCUGGCGGUAGGCCUAACACAUGCAAGUCGAACGGCAGCACAGUAAGAGCUUGCUCUUACGGGUGGCGAGUGGCGGACGGGUGAGGAAUACAUCGGAAUCUACUUUUUCGUGGGGGAUAACGUAGGGAAACUUACGCUAAUACCGCAUACGACCUACGGGUGAAAGCAGGGGACCUUCGGGCCUUGCGCGAUUGAAUGAGCCGAUGUCGGAUUAGCUAGUUGGCGGGGUAAAGGCCCACCAAGGCGACGAUCCGUAGCUGGUCUGAGAGGAUGAUCAGCCACACUGGAACUGAGACACGGUCCAGACUCCUACGGGAGGCAGCAGUGGGGAAUAUUGGACAAUGGGCGCAAGCCUGAUCCAGCCAUACCGCGUGGGUGAAGAAGGCCUUCGGGUUGUAAAGCCCUUUUGUUGGGAAAGAAAUCCAGCCGGCUAAUACCUGGUUGGGAUGACGGUACCCAAAGAAUAAGCACCGGCUAACUUCGUGCCAGCAGCCGCGGUAAUACGAAGGGUGCAAGCGUUACUCGGAAUUACUGGGCGUAAAGCGUGCGUAGGUGGUUGUUUAAGUCUGUUGUGAAAGCCCUGGGCUCAACCUGGGAACUGCAGUGGAAACUGGACGACUAGAGUGUGGUAGAGGGUAGCGGAAAUUCCUGGUGUAGCAGUGAAAUGCGUAGAGAUCAGGAGGAACAUCCAUGGCGAAGGCAGCUACCUG